AUAUAAGCAAAAUUCAUUUUUUAGGUUCAUUCAUUUAAUGAUGUAUGUGGUUCAUAUAUGGACCACAUACAUCAUUAAAUUAAUGAACCUAAAAAAUGAAUUUUGCUUAUAU
Molecule: microRNA precursor, 112 nt
Organism: Medicago truncatula (barrel medic)
Lineage: Eukaryota; Viridiplantae; Streptophyta; Magnoliopsida; Fabales; Fabaceae
Rfam family: MIR2593 microRNA precursor family
Source: Rfam